Aedes albopictus (Asian tiger mosquito) is the source of this 46-nucleotide non-coding RNA. The record is from Rfam. NCBI's taxonomy places the organism in Eukaryota, Metazoa, Arthropoda, Insecta, Diptera, Culicidae.
AAACCGGUCCUUUUCAGGACCAUCGAAAAUGAUUCCUUAGUUUCAA